RNAcentral lists this ribosomal RNA (443 nucleotides) under uncultured bacterium. Its description in RNAcentral is "partial 16S ribosomal RNA". It matches the Rfam family "Bacterial small subunit ribosomal RNA", at positions 338 to 795 of the family's 1533-position model. The record is from RNAcentral.
CCUACGGGCGGCAGCAGUGGGGAAUCUUGGGCAAUGGGCGCAAGCCUGACCCAGCAACGCCGCGUGAAGGAAGAAGGCUUUCGGGUUGUAAACUGCUUGUCACAGGGACGAAGCAAGUGACGGUACCUGAGGAAUAAGACAAGGCAAACAACGUGCCAGCAGCCGCGGUAAUACGUAGGAGGUAAGCGUUAUCCGGAGUUACUGGGGGUAAAGGGCGGGUAGGCGGGAAAGCAAGUCAGAUGUGAAAACCAUGGGCUCAACCUGUGGCCUGCAUUUGAAACUGUUUUUCUUGAGUACUGGAGAGGCAGACGGAAUUCCUGGUGUAGCGGUGAAAUGCGUAGAUAUUAGGAGGAACACCCGUGGCGAAGGCGGUCUGCUGGACAGCAACUGACGCUGAGGCGCGAAAGCGUGGAGAGCAAACAGGAUUAGAUACCCCGGUAGUC